This 26-nucleotide non-coding RNA is filed under the name Rattus norvegicus (Norway rat). The record is from RNAcentral. Lineage: Eukaryota; Metazoa; Chordata; Mammalia; Rodentia; Muridae.
UGACUCAGUGAUGUGGUCAGUGGCCA